Molecule: long non-coding RNA, 1993 nt
Organism: Panicum virgatum (switchgrass)
Lineage: Eukaryota; Viridiplantae; Streptophyta; Magnoliopsida; Poales; Poaceae
Exons: 2
Source: RefSeq, a predicted model, not a curated record
CUGAUCCCCUCCCUCUAGCCGGCGCUCCCUCCUCGCCGCCCCUCCAUCCUCUCGCGAUAUCUUCUCUCCGCGCCGCCGCCGUUCGUCACCACCCUAUCCUCCUGUUAGAGCUCCUCCACGUCGACGAGCCCCCUAGCGUCGCCAUCUCCUCACCUCACCCGCCCUCCUCCUCGCCAUCCCAGCCCCGGAGCCCAGCCAUGGGGGCCUGGCCGGAGCAAGAUCCAUCCAUGGCGGGCCUAGGUCCGGCUUCGUGCUGCAAGGCGGCGCUGUAGGGAGCGGGCCCCUUGGCCACUUGAGCCAGGCCGGCGCGUGCGUGCCGCUCGGCCGCGCCACAAGCCGCGCGCCACCAUUUUCGUGAGCGCAUAGGCCUGCUCGCCCCUUCCACGCAAGCCUGGGGUCCGCUCGCCUGCUCAGGCGCCGUCCAAGCAAGUGGAUCCCUCUGAUUUUUUUGUUCCCCAUUGGAUUCAAGCCAUUUUACUUCACUUGCACCUAUACUGGAUGCAAAAUCUGUCUCGAUUUCUUCUCAAAUGUGCAGUACACAACUGUGAUCUAUGGUCUUUGCUUGGUCAGAGAAUUGCAGAUCUUUUUCCCCUCAGUCUUUCCCCCUCUGAUAUGUCGCCCACUUGGAUUCAUUUGUGCCGCUGUGGUAAAGAAAUGAAGAAAAACCUUUCCUUAAAUCCUUGUAUGCAUGAAGGAAAACUAAAGGUUUUCUUUACGAAGUGGAUCUUUUAAUUACUGCAUUUGAGAGCGAAACUGGAACUGUAGUACAUGCAAGAGGAUUAAAUUUGAGCUUGUCCCCAUGAGUUUUGGAUGGAGAGCGGAAGUGAUAGGCAUAGCUAUAUCUUAGAAUUGAUCCCUGCAUGACCAGGGGACCAAAGCAUAAACCAUGAUCAUUUCUUAAUUUUCUACUUGUUCAUUUUUUGAGUUCUUAAUCUUUCAUAUGCAUAGCCUGACUACUGGCUUAUGAUUGAAUUUUACAAUUUCGAGACCGAACUCAUCACUAAGCUCCAAACUAGGGGUCUUGCAAUGCAAAAUCAUGGAGUAUGCUAUCCUUGGUUCUCGUUACUAUUAUUUUUCUGCUACAACACCAUACCAGCUUUCAUGCACACUACCAUGAGUACCAGUCCACCAGCUCUUUUAUUUGUCAAACCAGGAGUACGUCUCAACAACACAAGCAAAAAAUUAUUCAAUCAUUUCCACGCAGCGGCAUCCCGAGGUCUGCUUCCUUUCCUGCAAGAGUCUUGUUUCAAACAUCACUCUCACUUGUGUCACCUUACUGUUGCCACUUAUACCAAGCUGACACUCAAUUCAGAAAGCCACUUUUGAAUGGGGGCAAGGAUUUCCUGAUUCACAAAUGGUUAAUUACCUUACUACAAAUGGUUAUAGGUUGUUUCAAACCUUAUGUUUUUAUUGCCACUAUCAAAUGCACAUACUUUAUCUUCAGUGAGUGAGAUUACUGUCAGAUAGUGUUCUUGAACAUUGAUAUAUUUUGGAUCUAUACUUGUAACAUGAUUACAAUAAGUUUUUUUAUUCUGAAACUAUAGGUUUAAUAUGACUAGUGGAGAGUUUAUGUUCGAAAUUCACCUUAGCAGCUAUGUCACUUUGUUUGGACUUAAAUCUGAUGAGAUGACUGAACUAAUCAUAAGUAUUUCUUUUCCCUUGUCAGGUUGCAUUACUAUAGAGCAAGCUGAGCGUGAAAACCUGUGUGAUCUAUUGUUGGUGUUGCAGGUCCUGUUGGUGCUCUGGAGCAUUUGCUACUUUGCUUCUGGAAUCAAAUUGCUACUUGUAUCAUGUGCUUUGAUUUUUGGUGCUAUAGGUCUUGCUGGUGUAUUUUGGGCUGUUGUAUCUCUUUUCAAUGUAAACAUGAGAUUGUAUCACUUAUUUUGGGCUGCUAAAAUUUGAUAUGUAUUUUGGGUUGUACUGAUCAUUCUGGUGUAUGGUAUGAGAAAUUGGAUUAAAUUGAUGGGCUCAAUUUUUUAUGGGCCUUUUUGGU